AAAGUGGCUCAGGGGUAGAGCAAUUCACUCGUAAUGAAUAGGUCGUGGGUUCGAUUCCCACCUUUG
Molecule: transfer RNA, 66 nt
Filed under: uncultured Saccharofermentans sp.
Lineage: Bacteria; Bacillati; Bacillota; Clostridia; Eubacteriales; Oscillospiraceae
Rfam family: tRNA
About the family: Transfer RNA (tRNA) molecules are approximately 80 nucleotides in length.
Source: RNAcentral